RNAcentral lists this long non-coding RNA (204 nucleotides) under Mytilus galloprovincialis (Mediterranean mussel). Lineage: Eukaryota; Metazoa; Mollusca; Bivalvia; Mytilida; Mytilidae. The record is from RNAcentral.
GCGCAUCAUAUAAGUAUGUUUGCACAUCAUAUAAUGAUGUUUGCACCUCAUAUAAUGAUGUUUACACAGAAUAUAAUGAUGUUUGCACAUCAUAUAAGGAUAUUUGCACAUCAUAUAAAGGUGUUUGCACAUCAUAUGAUGACAAGUCAACAUCACAUAAAGGUAAAUUCACAGCAUAUAAAGGUAAAUGCACAUCAUAUAAAG